Molecule: ribosomal RNA, 464 nt
Filed under: uncultured bacterium
Lineage: Bacteria
Description: partial 16S ribosomal RNA
Rfam family: Bacterial small subunit ribosomal RNA
Source: RNAcentral
CUACGGGUUGCUGCAGUGGGGAAUAUUGCACAAUGGGCGCAAGCCUGAUGCAGCCAUGCCGCGUGUAUGAAGAAGGCCUUCGGGUUGUAAAGUACUUUCAGCGGGGAGGAAGGGAGUAAAGUUAAUACCUUUGCUCAUUGACGUUACCCGCAGAAGAAGCACCGGCUAACUCCGUGCCAGCAGCCGCGGUAAUACGGAGGGUGCAAGCGUUAAUCGGAAUUACUGGGCGUAAAGCGCACGCAGGCGGUUUGUUAAGUCAGAUGUGAAAUCCCCGGGCUCAACCUGGGAACUGCAUCUGAUACUGGCAAGCUUGAGUCUCGUAGAGGGGGGUAGAAUUCCAGGUGUAGCGGUGAAAUGCGUAGAGAUCUGGAGGAAUACCGGUGGCGAAGGCAGCCCCCUGGACGAAGACUGACGCUCAGGUGCGAAAGCGUGGGGAGCAAACAGGAUUAGAUACCCCCGUAGUC